Long non-coding RNA from Oenanthe melanoleuca, 3202 nucleotides. RefSeq lists it as uncharacterized. The record is from RefSeq and is a predicted model, not a curated record. The transcript has 2 exons. NCBI's taxonomy places the organism in Eukaryota, Metazoa, Chordata, Aves, Passeriformes, Muscicapidae.
GUGAGAGGAAUGUUACAUUUGUCUUUACAAAUAAAUUGUAAAUCUGUUGGUAGAUAAAGUUAGCACCUAGAGAUAAAAGAAACAAUGGGAGGGAUUACACUGAUUGGUGAAUGGAAAAAGAGAUUUGCCUUUACAAACAAACUGUAGGUUUGCUGGUAAAUGAAACUGGGUAACAGAAGAUGAAAGAAGCAACAGGGGGGGAAACUAUGAAUUCUACAAGAAUUAAAAAUUAAAAGGGAGGGUUAUACAUUAGAGGGGAAUGUCAGGUGUCAGGCGUUCCGGGAAGUCUGUGCCUCUCGAGUACCUCAGCCAAUGGGGAAAGAGAGAGGGAAAAGCGGCCGGGAAAUUAGGAUAAAAAGGGAGGCUGCGUCCUCCAAAAAUUCGAGAGAUCCCAGGGGAAUGCCCCAUGGCCUCUCCCUUUAUUCGAAUAAAGCAAAAAGGACUCCUCUGUCUCCUUUUUGGACAUAAACCUCUGGUGUUUGUGGAUUAAUUUUCCUUACAAUUUGGGGGCUCGUGUCCGGGAUAUUUCCACCGUCCAGGGCAGCAGGCAGCGGUGGAGCUGAAGGCGCGCCUCACCCAGUUUCGGUGAUCAGCUCCUCUGGGUGCCGGCUGGCCCCGGGCGAUUGAUUGGGUUCCCGAGACUGUCCAGGAGACAGACGAGUGGCGGACCAGGGGUCCGUGAAGAGUCCGCAGGGAAGGACCAGUGAAAAUCUCACCGGAGGCUCAGCUGGCACAGACCCUGCCUUUGGACUUUGCUGUUCACAACAUCCAGCCAGGAGAUUGGAUCCUAGUUAAGGAGUGGAAAGAAGCACCGCUGGUGGUGAAGUGGCGUGGACCGUUCCAGGUGUUGCUGACCACAGAAACAGCCGUCAAGACAGCUGAUCACGGGUGGACCCAUCACACUCAGGUCAAGGUCUCUGAGGCCCCAGAGAUUUGGACAUCUCAGCUGGAGGAGAGGGACGGGAAGCUGCAACUAACACUCCGCAGGGGCGGACUGGAGAAGUAGCAAGUGCGUCGACAUCGAGGGAAGCCUCGUAUGCCCACCCACGGACUGCCUGCUGAAACAGUUUGUGUGGGCAUCCCUCCUCUCGGAUCUCCAGUCUGGCUGGGGGCCAGCCCUUUGCUGUCACUGUUUUCUUUGUGUUGGGCUGUUUCUGUGCCUUCACUAACCACAGGUGCAGAAAACAACGUGAAAGUCAAAAUUGGUUUGGGGAAUUACAUAACACCAUCAGAAUGUUUCUCUUAAUAAUCUUACCUUUAUACUGUCAGUUAGUGUGGGGCCAGGAAUGAGAAAAUAAGUUUUUAACUUUAGGAGAAGAAGUAGCAAAAACCUUUAACCUUAGCAAUUGCUGGGUCUGUGGGGGGCCAGGGGGAUCUGAAAACUGGCCAUGGGUGGCCAGCCCAGUCGAACCUAAAUGGUAGGUUAGCACCCUGAGUGAGGUCCAUAAUGGAACAGGAUUCUGGGAUGAAGAAGGAAGUCCAUGGCAGCUUCAUUCUUCUGAAAGAGGAACUUAUUGUCUAAAUAGAACAGGAAGCAAAUCCGUGGGAAAAAGUGUUUGUGACUGGACUUUAUCAGUGGAACUGGCAACACUGGAAUGGAACUCGAACUCUUUUUAUCAGGUUCUGGUCCAAAUAUAAUAAGACAGAUCUGGGAUGUAACUGCAGCUGGAAACCUCAUGUGGGAGCAUAGAAGUGCAAAUACUGUGAUUCCUAUGGUGGGGCAACUAUUGUUGGGGGACCACUAGGCCCAGGAAGCAAGCUCUAUUUUGACCCCCCAGUAGAUCAUGAAAAUUGGGAAGGUCCCUUUGCCAAUGGGACCUGGGCCUUAAAGGGGCAUUACUGGAUUUGUGGCCAACACGCCUAUCACAGGUUACCCCCAAACUGGUUGGGGAUAUGUUAUGUGGGGUAUAUCAGACCUCUGUUCUUUCUGCUACCACAGGUUCAGGGAAACCAAUUAGAAAUCAAGGUAUAUGAUAAUCUAAUUAGGGAAAAGCGGUCAAUUGAUGUAUCCCUGGCUGGGGGUAGCACCCAAAAGUGGGUAAUAAUGAGUGGCCACCUGAACAAACCAUACAACACUAUGGACCAGCCACUUAAAAUCCUAAUAAAUUAAUAUCAGGUGCCAGAGAGCCCAUUUAUAAUUUAAAUCGAAUAAUUAGGUUACAAGCUGUCUUUGAAAUAGUAAGUAACCAGACAGCUACAGCUCUUGACCUUCUUGCUGACCAAUCUACUCAGAUGAGAAAUGCAAUAUUUCAACACCGGAUGGUAUUAGACUAUUUAUUAGCAGAAGAAGGGGGGGUGUGUGGCAAAUUAAAUUGCUCAAUUUGCUGUUUGCAAAUAGAUGACAAUGGAAAAGUGGUGAAACAAAUAGCAAAAGGAAUAAGAAAGUUAGCUCAUGUACCUGUCCAAACAUGGAAAGGAUGGGAAUGGGACAUGUUUUCAUGGCUACCUGCUGGACUGUGGGUUAAACAACUGCUUUUUUUUUCCUCUUAUGUGCUGUAGCAACUCUAAUCUUUUUACCAUGCAUGAUUCCUUGCUUAGUACAACUUAUUCAACAUGUGAUCAAGGGGAUGCAGGUUAUAGCCAUGCCUACUGACCCAGAGGUGGCUACAAAAGGACAGAAAUUGAUGUCAUUGCAAAUAAUUGCAAAACCAAAAAAGACACAAGAACAAGAAAUUAAGACAAUGAUAGCUAAAGUUUGUAAAGACAAUUACUAAAAAUAAAAAAGAGGAGGGAUUGAGAGGAAUGUUACAUUUGUCUUUACAAAUAAAUUGUAAAUCUGUUGGUAGAUAAAGUUAGCACCUAGAGAUAAAAGAAACAAUGGGAGGGAUUACACUGAUUGGUGAAUGGAAAAAGAGAUUUGCCUUUACAAACAAACUGUAGGUUUGCUGGUAAAUGAAACUGGGUAACAGAAGAUGAAAGAAGCAACAGGGGGGGAAACUAUGAAUUCUACAAGAAUUAAAAAUUAAAAGGGAGGGUUAUACAUUAGAGGGGAAUGUCAGGUGUCAGGCGUUCCGGGAAGUCUGUGCCUCUCGAGUACCUCAGCCAAUGGGGAAAGAGAGAGGGAAAAGCGGCCGGGAAAUUAGGAUAAAAAGGGAGGCUGCGUCCUCCAAAAAUUCGAGAGAUCCCAGGGGAAUGCCCCAUGGCCUCUCCCUUUAUUCGAAUAAAGCAAAAAGGACUCCUCUGUCUCCUUUUUGGACAUAAA